AAAAAAAAAAAUGUUUUCAGACAAUGUUUGGAGUCAAUAAAAAAACUAUUUUUGCCUUGACGACUAUCUGUCUUAUUAAGAUUCUCAGGUAACAGUUUAAUAUUAGAGUUUGAAGUGCAUUCAGUUACCAUGUAAUGAAACCUGCUUCCUCAGGAUGCCGUCUGUGCUGUCUCGAUGGGUUGGGAUGUGAGUUUUGAAGCAGCACAGACCUGUGUUGGAAUUUCACCUCCAUGACCUCCUCGCUUCGUGGGUUUCAACAAGUGACAUUAAUUCUCGGUUUCAUUUCCUUCAUAUGUAAACGUCGAGGUGGUAACAGCAGUCUUGCAGAGCUCUGUUCACAAUGAAAUGGAAGACCAGCAACUCCUAGCGUGCCCAGCACAGUGGAAGGUUACCUAGAUUCAGAAUUUUUUUGACUCUGAUGCAUAAGAGAUGAAAAACAGAUGAAGUGAGCCCUGUAUUUGCCACAAUUCACCAUAGGAAAAUCCUGGAACAAACAUACCAGAUUCCAUUCACAGAUUCCAAGAUCUGUGAUCUACACUGGGAAAAAUGACCGCCCCUCGUGAAGUUUUGUCACUGACCUCUCGUGGACUUUAGCUCUCCAUCUCUGCUGAGGAGAUAUGAAAGCAUUCGCAUUUCUCCUGUUAAGGAAGGGAUCUUAGAACAGAAAAUAAAUAAAUGCAGUUUUAGUAACACGUAGCUGAAAAUAUUUAUGAAUAUUCCGUGACACAAAUAUAUUUGAAAGUGCCUUAAUUUCUGCAAUUCAUUUAACCAGAGAUUGGCAAAAAUCAAAGGAGCGUAUAAAAUAGAUUUCAUUACCUUCCUGAUCAAGUCUCUAUGUGUCUUAGAGACUGGUCAUGUAGGUUUUGUUGGUUUUGCCUUUGGACAAUCACUCUGCCUUUCUUAAUCUACAUAUUUCUAUUUGGUAUGUUUUAAAUUCCUUUUGAGGAGAAAUCCUCUGUCCUGAGGAUUUAUGAAGCAUAACUCUAGAUUGCCAGUGAAUGAACAGUCGAGACACUAUAAAAAUAACGAAUAAAUUAAAAACCAGAGUGAUAGGCCAUUUCCUCCUAUGCUCAGUCUUUUUUUUUUUGAGACGGAGUUUUGCUCUUGUUACCCAGACUGGAGUGCAAUGGCGCGAUCUCGGCUCACCGCAACCUCCGCCUCCUGGUUGAGGCAAUUCUCCUGCCGCAGCCUCCCAAGUAGCUGGAAUUACAGGCAUGCGCCACCAUGCCCAGCUAAUUUUUUGUAUUUUUAGUAGAGACGGGGUUUCACCAUGUUGACCAGGAUGGUCUCGAGCUCUCGACCUCGUGAUCCACCCGCCUCGGCCUCCCAAAGUGCUGGGAUUACAGGCUUGAACCAC
Callithrix jacchus (white-tufted-ear marmoset) is the source of this 1357-nucleotide long non-coding RNA. RefSeq lists it as uncharacterized. The record is from RefSeq and is a predicted model, not a curated record. NCBI's taxonomy places the organism in Eukaryota, Metazoa, Chordata, Mammalia, Primates, Cebidae.